GAUGAACGCUGGCGGCGUGCCUAAUACAUGCAAGUAGAACGCUGAAGGAAGGAGCUUGCUCUUUCCGGAUGAGUUGCGAACGGGUGAGUAACGCGUAGGUAACCUGCCUGGUAGCGGGGGAUAACUAUUGGAAACGAUGGCUAAUACCGCAUAACAGUAGAUGUUGCAUGACAACUAUUUGAAAGGGGCAAUUGCUCCACUACCAGAUGGACCUGCGUUGUAUUAGCUAGUUGGUGAGGUAACGGCUCACCAAGGCGACGAUACAUAGCCGACCUGAGAGGGUGAUCGGCCACACUGGGACUGAGACACGGCCCAGACUCCUACGGGAGGCAGCAGUAGGGAAUCUUCGGCAAUGGACGGAAGUCUGACCGAGCAACGCCGCGUGAGUGAAGAAGGUUUUCGGAUCGUAAAGCUCUGUUGUAAGAGAAGAACGAGUGUGAGAGUGGAAAGUUCACACUGUGACGGUAUCUUACCAGAAAGGGACGGCUAACUACGUG
Molecule: ribosomal RNA, 497 nt
Filed under: uncultured bacterium
Lineage: Bacteria
Description: partial 16S ribosomal RNA
Rfam family: Bacterial small subunit ribosomal RNA
Source: RNAcentral